AAGGAGGCUUCUCUGGCUCCGGUCUCACCGGCUUAUGACUCCGGGCGUGGAGGUUCUGAGCCUUAUGCCAUCGGCUUUUGAUCGUCACCCCUUUCCUGAAGGGUGUGACUGUAGCUUUGCCCAUGUUUUAUGUGUUCUCGGUUUGAUUCCUUCAGAAGAGAUCUCGAAUAGAUCUAUUGAAUCUCUUUGAUGGCGAUGAAGCGAUGGUGUUGACGACAAACAAGAGGAGGUGUGGGAUUUCUUUAAUCUCGUGAUUGGCGGCUUGGUGGCUCAGGAUGAGAUCUCGACGUCAGUGGAUGGAAGCUCUCUGCGAAAGGAGCUCAGCCGUGGAUGGUGGUGGUGAUCGGGUGCGGUUUCCGGUGAUAGUUGCGUGUUCUCUCUGGCGUUGGAGGAAGGAGAAGGGAUUUGGUGACACGUGUAUUUCGCAGUUGAGAUCUCAACACGUGUGCCAUCGUGUUGGCGUUUGGGGCGGUGCCGUUUUUAGGCUUUGUUGUUCGGGCCGGGUCUUUGGGCGUAUAUCCCUUGGAUGGGUUUUAGGAUAGUUUUAUGGGCAUGUUUUUUGGGCUCCGUUGUAAUGGUUUUGGGCUUGGUCCAAUUGGACCUUAUCCCCUUAAUAUAUAUAUAUAUAUUUUUUUUUUUUUUUUGAAACACCCUUAUCCCCUUAAUAUAAUAAUAAUAGAUGGAAAAAAAAAAAGCUUUCUAUUCUUUUACGAAACAGAGAAGUAAAAGACAAAGUCGCAUAAACCCAGAAGCUCUAAUGGAACGAGUAUUUAAGAUCAAAAGAUUUAUUAUUAUUUUUUUCCUUUUAAGAACAACCGAUAAACCCGAAUCAACAAUAUAAACUUAAAGCGACUAAAGUUAAUAACGAGAAGAGCUGAGUAGGCAUGGACAUUCGGGGCACAAUCGGGUUUUGGUUUAGUCCAAUCGGAUUUCGGUUUUUCGGGUUUAUCAAAAUCAGCACAUUCGGAUUAUAUGAAAAUUCGGUUCGGAACCGGUUCGGGUUCUA
RNAcentral lists this long non-coding RNA (1006 nucleotides) under Brassica rapa (field mustard). Its description in RNAcentral is "long non-coding RNA (BRAP_LNC000379)". The record is from RNAcentral. Lineage: Eukaryota; Viridiplantae; Streptophyta; Magnoliopsida; Brassicales; Brassicaceae.